CUUAACGUUGGAGGUACCCGUACCGCAAACGGACACACGUAGUCGGGUUGAAUAUACUAAGGCGCUUGGGUGAAUCACGGUUAAGGAACUAGGCAAAUUGACCCUGUAACUUCGGAAUAAAGGGUCCCUCCUCGCAAGAGAGGGCGCAGAGAAUAGGUCCAGGCAACUGUUUAACAAAAACACAGGGCUGUGCUAAUAUGAAAGUAGAUGUAUACAGCCUGACACCUGCCCGGUGCUGGAAGGUUAAGAGGAGAUGUCAUCUUUGGGAGAAGCAUUGAAUUGAAGCCCCAGUAAACGGCGGCCGUAACUAUAACGGUCCUAAGGUAGCGAAAUUCCUUGUCGGGUAAGUUCCGACCUGCACGAAUGGUGUAAUGAUCCGGACACUGUCUCAACCGUGAGCCCAGUGAAAUUGUAGUAUCGGUGAAGAUGCCGAUUACCCGCGAUGGGACGAAAAGACCCCGUGAACCUUUACUAUAGCUUAGCAUUGAAUUUGGGCACGCGAUGUGUAGGAUAGGUCGGAGGCUU
This 525-nucleotide ribosomal RNA is filed under the name Bacteroides caecigallinarum. RNAcentral describes it as "partial 23S ribosomal RNA". It matches the Rfam family "Bacterial large subunit ribosomal RNA", at positions 1625 to 2157 of the family's 2925-position model. The record is from RNAcentral. Lineage: Bacteria; Pseudomonadati; Bacteroidota; Bacteroidia; Bacteroidales; Bacteroidaceae. RNAcentral also lists the same sequence under 1 other name.